This 29-nucleotide small RNA is filed under the name Bombyx mori (domestic silkworm). Its description in RNAcentral is "piRNA piR-bmo-1675692". Lineage: Eukaryota; Metazoa; Arthropoda; Insecta; Lepidoptera; Bombycidae. The record is from RNAcentral.
UCACGUUACACCAGCAUGUAGGUCUAUGC